UACAGAGGGGGCAAGCGUUGUUCGGAAUUACUGGGCGUAAAGGGCGCGUAGGCGGCCUUCUAAGUCGAACGUGAAAUCCCUGGGCUCAACCCAGGAACUGCGUCCGAUACUGGAGGGCUUGAAUCCGGGAGAGGGAUGCGGAAUUCCAGGUGUAGCGGUGAAAUGCGUAGAUAUCUGGAGGAACACCGGUGGCGAAGGCGGCAUCCUGGACCGGUAUUGACGCUGAGGCGCGAAAGCCAGGGGAGCAAACGGG
RNAcentral lists this ribosomal RNA (253 nucleotides) under uncultured bacterium. RNAcentral's name for it is "partial 16S ribosomal RNA". It matches the Rfam family "Bacterial small subunit ribosomal RNA", at positions 524 to 776 of the family's 1533-position model. The record is from RNAcentral.